Molecule: long non-coding RNA, 2200 nt
Filed under: Heterocephalus glaber (naked mole-rat)
Lineage: Eukaryota; Metazoa; Chordata; Mammalia; Rodentia; Bathyergidae
Description: lncRNA (ENSHGLG00000049397.1)
Source: RNAcentral
CCGUGUGGCACAUCUCCAUUGUUCUAACUCACUCAUCCAUAACAGCUGGAGACCCAAGCAAGAUGGUCAGAAUGGGGAGAUUCACUUUGAUGUGGUUCCUCCUGUCUGCAGUCUGUAAGGGAGGCACCCCCUGAGACUUGCCGCUGCCAGAUAGUCUCAUUGCUGACACUGAGAAAACUGCAGAGAUGCCUGAGACAACUUCCAAAUAUUGUGGCAUAUAUCUGGUCUGGUCUUCAGGUAAGGAUCCUUCUGGUUCUGAUGGGGAAAAAUAGUCUUUGAUGAAUGCAUUCCCUGGGCACCUCAGAAGGUCACCACACUGACUGAGAUGGUCCUCUGGUUGGGUCUAGUCUGGUCUGGCUGCAAGUCAGCCAACUUGGUAAAUCCUUGGUGAUGGAUGUGGAAUGUUUUUGGCCUCUAAAUGAUUGCUGUUUGAAUGGCUGAAUGAAUAGUAACAUACAGUGUAAACUGUACAAUCUUCCAUCCAUUCCUGAAGACAAUGAUGAGGAAUCCCCCUCAAAGUUACGGGUUCUGAAAAAGGUCAUACUUCACUUCAUGGGCACAUCUAAGUUAAGGCCAAAUGGGUGCUGGUGUGAUGAGAUAAACAUACCCUAAAUCCUGGAUGGUCCUUCAAUGGGCUGAGAGGCCUGAGCCAGUCAACUAACUGAGGGGUUCCUCACACAGAGGACCACCCCCUUCCUUAGUCUGUUGCUACAUCAUUCAAGGGAGCACCACAUAAACACUAAGGCUUCUUUCUCUGUGUCUGGACCUCUUAUCUUUUUAUUUGUUCUUGUAGCUUCUAUUUUUGGGUAUCUCCUGCCUGCCCUAAGUCUCUCUACUAUGAGAUCAUCAUCUUCACAACCUGUUACACCCAUAGUCUUCAUGUAGUCAGUUCUGCGGCAGUCAGAAGGUAGCUGCCCCAUCCAUGUCCCCUCUACAUUUUGUUGAACAUUCAAAUGAGCAUGGGCUGUAACUUGUGGAGAGACUGCAAGUGAGUGAUUUACCAUUCCUGUGCUCCACUCAGUGGCAUCCUCUAUAAAUUCAGCCUCCAAAUAUACUUACUGAAACCCUGCUCUAAGUGCUGAGGAGAUAAUCUGGGUCCUUACCCUUAUGUGAUCACAUGGAAAAACAGAUAUAUGACAGAAGCCAAGAGCAAAGGAUACAGAGUGAAUGAUGGAAAAGAAAGCUAUGGAAAAGAAAGCCCAGAGAGGAAUGUGGACAGAUUCAGUUAUAAAUAAGAUGAUGAAGGGUAGAAUUGUUUUUGAUUGCUGAUAUUUGACAGCAGAAAGUUUGAAGCCAGACCACUGAAAGUGUCCUGGUUCAUUUGGGGACCUAGGUUUCCAGGGAAGAAUGAGGAGAUUCCCUUGGUGGAAACUAGGAGAGUGAGAGUGCUGUAUAGUGAGAGUUAGAGGUGUAGGGAGAGUGAACAGUGUCAUUUCUUAGCAGUGGAUCCUUGUAAAGGCUUAGAUGUGUACGUCUCAUGUGAUGAAGUCCUGUAGGGUUUGAGAAAAGGAUACAUUACCACAAAGCAAUAUCACUGUCCAGAGGGAAAGUUCUAGUCCCUGUGAGGUUCCAGGGCUGCAGGCAGAGCACAUCAACAAUGAAAUCUUGAAGAGGAUACUGGGCUCUCUUCAGUAAUUCAAGGCUCCUUAAAUAUCCUGCGUUUUUUCUUUGUGUGUUCUUUGCAGUGGGAUCCAAAUUUGAAAAGGAAAAAGCCUUCCUCAUUUAUGACUAUUGUACCAUUAUAUUUGCACUAUCCUCAUAUUGAUGAGGCUGAUAAAAAUAGAAAAUUGUAAAAGGCUCUGAUAUCAAAGACAGAGGCCUCCUGUAUGAAAUCAUUUUGUCCCAUGACCUUUUCUCUUCCACCUUCCCUCCCAAGGACAGAGAAAUCUUGCACAAUCUUUUUUUCCAAAGUCUCUGUAUUUCUUUCAUUGCACCUCUUACAAUGGACAGCUAAGUCCCUGCCUUGACUCUGCUGUCACUAAGUUUGCAAUUAAAAUAGCAAGCUCAAAAAAAAAAGAGAUGAGACUGUGCUUAGACUGUGUAUUUUACCUUCAUUCCCUUAGAGUCUUUUCCAGUGUGUUUCACAAUUGACUAAGUAAAGCCAGAGAGAAGCUAGGGUGCUACUGCAAUAAUUUUAAAAGUGAAAUGAUUGUUUCUCCUUCCAGGACAGUAAGAGAAACUGUUGAAGUAGACUCCAAAU